RNAcentral lists this long non-coding RNA (1243 nucleotides) under Monodelphis domestica (gray short-tailed opossum). Its description in RNAcentral is "lncRNA (ENSMODG00000041277.1)". Lineage: Eukaryota; Metazoa; Chordata; Mammalia; Didelphimorphia; Didelphidae. The record is from RNAcentral.
AACAAACUUCAGUAGAGAAUAAACUACAUAACCAUUAGAUUAUUAAAUGUUUUGUUUCUCUCUCUACCAGGGUCCAUCAUGCUGGGAUGAUGUCCUAAUUUCAAACAAAAUAAGUGGCGUUUGCCAUUUCCCAGACUGCAAUGGAACUGGAGCAGAACAUUCCUCAGGGAGAAGGGCCCAGAUCAGACUGUACAAUGUGCCCCAACUUUGCCCAUUUACUUUUAUUCCAGGGAAGAUUGUUCAAAUCAAGGAAGUCUUGAAAUGGGAAAUAAAUAGAAAAAUGUCACUUAAGUGCAUAACUUUGCUUGCAGCUGAUAGAAGAAGGAGUCAUUAUGAGGUAAUACCCUUCUCCUCUACCAGUCUUUCUCAUUAACAUUAUUUCAGGCAAAUUAAUUCAGUUUUUUUCAUCAGGCAAUUAUUAUUAACAGUUUAUAAGGACCAUAGAUUUUGCAAAGAAAAAAAAAGCAUGUAGUAUAAUAGAUAGAAUGCACUAUUUGGAGUUAAGAAGACCUAAUACUAGUGGCUGUAUGACCUUGGGCAAGUUAUUAAACCUCUGAGAUCUAUAGAUAUAAAAGCAGCUCUUAUACUCAUUACACUCAUGAAAAAUAAUUAUGGAUCUUUGAGAAAUCACCUCUCUCAAAGACAACAACUUCCAUGGGAUCAGAAAUUUUUAGUACUAUCAAGGAUUCAGAAAGGAAUUCAUGUAGUCCAAUCCCUUAAUUCUACAGAUAAAUGAAAUUGAGACUUGUAGAGAUUAAGUGAUGCUCCCAAAGUCAGGAAAGUACACAAGUAUGAAAAUGUUAGGUCUUUUCACAAUACCCAAUAGUGAACUCACUUCCUUGUCCUAUAAAGUGUUCAGAUGCUUUGUUAAAACUAUAAGCUCCAUUUAGAUUGGGGGACAUCUCUUACCUAAACAUUAUAUCUCUCCAGAAAUAUGAUGGUAAAAAAUGUUAUAUCUUAUUACCCUUUCCAUCUCCUUGCCUAUAGGUAAAGUAGCUUUCUAUAGCUGCUGUGUGGGUGUUAUUCACAUUUUGAGUUAAUUCCAAUGAAAGUAAAGUUUAAGCAUUAUCUGCCACACACCCCAUCUUCCCUUCCACUGUAUUGAUCCUUGAGUGAGAUUGCUUAACGUGAGAUAGUAUCUCUCCUUCUAUCUUUCCUUUUCUCUUCUCCCCAUGUGUUCCGCUUUCCCAUCCCUACAUUUUUUAUAUCAACUUAUUCUAUUCCAUUUAUUCCUUCCCUUCCA